RNAcentral lists this ribosomal RNA (235 nucleotides) under uncultured bacterium. RNAcentral describes it as "partial 16S ribosomal RNA". It matches the Rfam family "Bacterial small subunit ribosomal RNA", at positions 119 to 354 of the family's 1533-position model. The record is from RNAcentral.
AGGAAACCUGCCGUAUACUGGGGGAUAACACUUAGAAAUAGGUGCUAAUACCGCAUAAGCGCACAGCUUCGCAUGAAGCGGUGUGAAAAACUCUGGUGGUAUACGAUGGUUCCGCGUCUGAUUAGCUAGUUGGUGGGGUAAUGGCCUACCAAGGCAACGAUCAGUAGCCGGCCUGAGAGGGUGAACGGCCACAUUGGGACUGAGACACGGCCCAAACUCCUACGGAAGGCAGCAG